AGAGUUUGAUCAUGGCUCAGAAUCAACGCUGGCGGCGUGCCUAACACAUGCAAGUCGAACGCGGUUACCCCGCAAGGGGUAACUGAGUGGCGAACGGGUGAGUAACACGUGGGUGACCUACCUUCGAGUGGGGGAUAACGUCCCGAAAGGGACGCUAAUACCGCAUAACAUCCUGCCUUUGAACAGGUGGAGAUCAAAGCCGGGGACCGCAAGGCCCGGCGCUUGAUGAGGGGCCCGCGUCUGAUUAGCUAGUUGGUGGGGUAAUGGCCCACCAAGGCGACGAUCAGUAUCCGGCCUGAGAGGGCGGACGGACACACUGGGACUGAGACACGGCCCAGACUCCUACGGGAGGCAGCAGUGGGGAAUUGUUCGCAAUGGGCGCAAGCCUGACGACGCAACGCCGCGUGGAGGAUGAAGGUCUUCGGAUUGUAAACUCCUGUUGCCCGGGACGAAUAGCUUUGACCUAACACGUCAGAGUCUGACGGUACCGGGUGAGGAAGCCCCGGCUAACUCUGUGCCAGCAGCCGCGGUAAUACAGAGGGGGCAAGCGUUGUUCGGAAUUACUGGGCGUAAAGGGCGCGUAGGCGGCCUGCUAAGUCGAACGUGAAAUCCCCGGGCUCAACCCGGGAACUGCGUCCGAUACUGGCAGGCUUGAAUUCGGGAGAGGGAUGCGGAAUUCCAGGUGUAGCGGUGAAAUGCGUAGAUAUCUGGAGGAACACCGGUGGCGAAGCGGCAUCCUGGACCGAAAUUGACGCUGAGCGCGAAAGCCAGGGGAGCAAACGGGAUUAGAUACCCCGGUAGUCCUGGCCCUAAACGAUGAAUGCUUGGUGUGGCGGGUAUCGAUCCCUGCCGUGCCGAAGCUAACGCAUUAGCAUUCCGCCUGGGGAGUACGGUCGCAAGGCUGAAACUCA
This 911-nucleotide ribosomal RNA is filed under the name uncultured bacterium. RNAcentral describes it as "bacterial SSU rRNA". It matches the Rfam family "Bacterial small subunit ribosomal RNA", at positions 8 to 903 of the family's 1533-position model. The record is from RNAcentral.